UACAGAGGGUGCGAGCGUUAAUCGGAAUUACUGGGCGUAAAGCGCACGUAGUCGGCUUUGCAAGUCGGGUGUGAAAUCCCCGGGCUCAACCUGGGAACUGCAUCCGAGACUGCAUUGCUAGAGUAUGGGAGAGGGAAGCGGAAUUUCUGGUGUAGCAGUGAAAUGCGUAGAUAUCAGAACGAACAUCAGUGGCGAAGGCGGCUUCCUGGACCAAUACUGACGAUCAGGUGCGAAAGCGUGGGGAGCAAACAGG
Molecule: ribosomal RNA, 253 nt
Filed under: uncultured bacterium
Lineage: Bacteria
Description: partial 16S ribosomal RNA
Rfam family: Bacterial small subunit ribosomal RNA
Source: RNAcentral